This is a non-coding RNA of Pelobates cultripes (western spadefoot toad), 1179 nucleotides long. The record is from the annotation of a GenBank genome assembly. NCBI's taxonomy places the organism in Eukaryota, Metazoa, Chordata, Amphibia, Anura, Pelobatidae.
UUAUCACUAGACUGUAAUGUAAACACUGCAUUUUCUCUGAAAAGACAGUGUUUACAGCAAAAAGCCUGAAGGUAAUGAUUCUACUCACCAGAACAAAUUCAAUAAGCUGUUCUGGUGGCUAAAGUGUCCCUUUAAUCACCAGAGGCUGAAUAAUUCUGGACUCUAGAUGUACAUCACUCCAGAAACAUUCAUUAACUCUUUCAAAAUUAGUUAGUGAAAUGCCUUGUGAUUCCGAUUGUACUGACAUGUAAAUGGUCCUUUAAAGGAGCACUUUUGAGCAUUGUAACCACUACAUAGCACUGUAGUGGUUAUGGUGCAAAGCAUCCUCUGUCACUGACCCACAGUAAAGAAUGAACAGAAUAAGUCUUGCCUGGAUCCCUCAGGCACCUGGGAUCUUUCUGGUCUUCUGUGGUAUUGCUAAAAUGGAAAUCACCAUUCUACUUGAACAAUAUCACUUAGGACUUAAUUGGCAGAAAGCGUCUGCUGACUGCCUGCCUAUGAAUUAUGUGCAGAGGUGGACAAGUUUGAUAUUGCCAAAAGAGGAAAACUGGGGCACCCAGGUAAGAGUCAAAUCUAUGAAAAACACACCUUAGUGUGGGACAGUGCCAGGGGCCUACUGACAACAGUGCGAUGUAGUGGAUAUGGUGCUUCAAAUACCCCUUUAAAGAGCUGUAAAUUAAUAACAAUAAUGUGACGGAGCUCCCGUACUCUGAUCAAGUCAGCUUCCUCACUGCCGCAGGGAACUCUGUGACACUUCACACCCAGUCACUGAAGCUUGAAUGGAGUCUCUCAGGACCUCUUCCACCCAACCAGGCUGUAGCUCUCUCCUUCCAGGUAGAUCUCAUUCUCUUUGCGUUUUCAGUUCCUUUCCCAGGCCGAUAUUCACAGCUCUGCUCACACUGUGGCCGGCUACUGCUUUUAUAAAAGCACUUGUGGCUCUCAGCCUCUUUUGAUUGGCCUGGUAUCCAGGGACAAAGCAGCCAGGUAACCGGUCUGAACUCUUUUACUGAGAUCUCAAAAUAAAUCAACCAGGACACACAAUUCCAAAAGUAACUAACACACUAUACUGUAAUUUUUAAACAAGGGCUAGCUUGUGCUGAGUUGUCUUUAAGCAUGUGGUGAAAACCAUAAAUAUCAACAAACAUACAUAAUGUGAAGAACAAGCAAGAUAACAAUGCC